This 322-nucleotide ribosomal RNA is filed under the name Clostridia bacterium. Its description in RNAcentral is "bacterial SSU rRNA". It matches the Rfam family "Bacterial small subunit ribosomal RNA", at positions 1 to 328 of the family's 1533-position model. Lineage: Bacteria; Bacillati; Bacillota; Clostridia. The record is from RNAcentral.
UAAUAUUAGAGUUUGAUUCUGGCUCAGGACGAACGCUGGCGGCGUGCUUAAUACAUGCAAGUCGAACGGAUAUGUAGCAAUACAUAUUAGUGGCGGACGGGUGAGUAACGCGUAACCAACCUGCCUUUUACAGGGGAAUAACACUUGGAAACAGGUGCUAAUACCGCAUAUGACCACAACGCGGCAUCGCGAAGGGGUAAAAGUUUUAUCGGUAAAAGAGGGGGUUGCGUAUCAUUAGCUUGUUGGUGAGGUAACGGCCCACCAAGGCGACGAUGAUUAACCGGCCUGAGAGGGUAAAUGGUCACACUGGAACUGAGACACG